GGUGACCUGCGGAGGGAUCAUUACACAAAAAAUAUGAAGGCUGUAUGCGGCUGUGUCUCUUUCGGGGGGCCAGCUUUUGCGGAGGCUGAAAUAUUUUUCACCCAUGUCUUUUGCGCACUUGUUGUUUCCUGGGCGGGUUUCGCCCGCCACCAGGACCACACCAUAAACCUUUUUUAUGCAGUUGCAAUCAGCGUCAGUAUAACAAAUGUAAAUCAUUUACAACUUUCAACAACGGAUCUCUUGGUUCUGGCAUCGAUGAAGAACGCAGCGAAAUGCGAUACGUAGUGUGAAUUGCAGAAUUCAGUGAAUCAUCGAAUCUUUGAACGCACAUUGCGCCCUUUGGUAUUCCAAAGGGCAUGCCUGUUCGAGCGUCAUUUGUACCUUCAAGCUUUGCUUGGUGUUGGGCGUCUUUUUUUUGUCUUGGGCCUUUUUGUGCCCUGAGACUCGCCUUAAAACGAUUGGCAGCCGGCCUACUGGUUUCGGAGCGCAGCACAUUUUUGCGCUUGCAAUCAGCAAAAGAGGCCAGCCAUCCAUCAAGACCAUUCUUCUCACUUUUGACCUCGGAUCAGGUAGGGAUACCCGCUGAACUUAAGCAUAUCAAUAAGCGGAGGAAAAGAAACCAACAGGGAUUGCCCUAGUAACGGCGAGUGAAGCGGCAACAGCUCAAAUUUGAAAUCUGGCUCUUUCAGAGUCCGAGUUGUAAUUUGCAGAGGGCGCUUUGGCUUUGGCAGCGGUCCAAGUUCCUUGGAACAGGACGUCACAGAGGG
This 767-nucleotide ribosomal RNA is filed under the name fungal sp. RNAcentral's name for it is "eukaryotic LSU rRNA". The stretch from base 556 to 767 matches the Rfam family "Eukaryotic large subunit ribosomal RNA", at positions 1 to 212 of the family's 3401-position model. The record is from RNAcentral. Lineage: Eukaryota; Fungi.